GUUCUGCUUCAUCUUUCGAAAGCAUGGAUUUGAAAAUCAACUUAAUCUUUGGCAGUCUACGCUGGUCCAAAGGGUCAAUUGGUGCUUAUAGACUGAACCGGUCCUUACACAAAAUUUAUACCAUAACAAUCUAAAUGUUUCUCUUACAGUUCCAUGAUUCCUUUCAUAACAUAUGCUCUGUUUUCUGUGUGUAUGUAGCUAUAUUUAAAGGAUUCUCAGUUCAGCGAAGUGGACAGAGCAGAGUAUCAGUUCAGAAUGACAGCUACUGUACUCGACAAUGGAACUCAGGUUACUGAUCUAUUUCAAUUUCAAGAAACUCAUCCUAAAGAAAUAAAUGCUUAAGUUUCUUCGACUUCAGCUGUCAUGCUCAAUACGUUUUCUUAAGCUGGAUGGUUAUGUUCGGCCUCCUCCCCUCUAUUUUCCCAACCAGUAGGGUAACAGUAAAUGACUGAUGCUUGGAAGUUAAGUAAUUGCAAGAGCUUGAGCUGAAAAGUGAAAGUCUGGCCAACUAACUUCUGUAGGCAUUGUGGGAGAGCUGUAUGCAAGGGAAUUUCUACACCUGUGUCCAGAAUCUUUUACGGCAACCAACGUCCACCUGUUCAGCGUUUUGUAGACCAGGUUGUGUUGUAUCUGGAUUAAAAAUUAAAAUGCUCAAAUAAGUCCAACUCUAACCUUCAUAAGUCCACACUCACAGGGAGGUGAUGAUCACCAGGAAAAAUAAAUGAUGGCCACUGCCACAACACUCGAAAAAAUUUGUAUAAGGACGUAAACUAAAGGCUCACCAAUAUAAACACUCAGACGAA
Long non-coding RNA from Raphanus sativus (radish), 803 nucleotides. RefSeq lists it as uncharacterized. The transcript has 3 exons. The record is from RefSeq and is a predicted model, not a curated record. Lineage: Eukaryota; Viridiplantae; Streptophyta; Magnoliopsida; Brassicales; Brassicaceae.